RNAcentral lists this RNase P RNA (354 nucleotides) under Neptunomonas phycophila. Its description in RNAcentral is "RNase P RNA component class A". It matches the Rfam family "Bacterial RNase P class A". From Rfam's summary of the family: Ribonuclease P (RNase P) is a ubiquitous endoribonuclease, found in archaea, bacteria and eukarya as well as chloroplasts and mitochondria. Its best characterised activity is the generation of mature 5'-ends of tRNAs by cleaving the 5'-leader elements of precursor-tRNAs. Lineage: Bacteria; Pseudomonadati; Pseudomonadota; Gammaproteobacteria; Oceanospirillales; Oceanospirillaceae. The record is from RNAcentral.
UGAGUUCGCCGGGCAGUCGCCGUUUAGCACUAGCUAGAGGGAGGAAAGUCCGGGCUCCAUAGGGCAAGGUGCCAGAUAACGUCUGGGCGGCGCGAGCCGACGGCCAGUGCAGCAGAGAGUAUACCGCCUAAGUAUCUUCGGAUACCGGUAAGGGUGAAAGGGUGCGGUAAGAGCGCACCGCGUGGGUGGCAACAUUCCACGGCAUGGUAAACCCCACCAGGAGCAAGACCAAAUAGGGAUCCGUUAGGUGUGGCCCGCAUCGGAUCCGGGUAGGUCGCUUGAGAUGUAUAGCGAUGUACAUACUAGAUGAAUGACUGUCCUCGACAGAACCCGGCUUACAGGCGAACUCAGACU